CCUACGGGAGGCAGCAGUCGAGAAUCAUUCACAAUGGGGGAAACCCUGAUGGUGCGACGCCGCGUGGGGGAAUGAAGGUCUUCGGAUUGUAAACCCCUGUCAUGUGGGAGCAAAUUAAAAAGAUAGUACCACAAGAGGAAGAGACGGCUAACGCUGUGCCAGCAGCCGCGGUAAUACAGAGGUCUCAAGCGUUGGUAGGAAUCACUGGGCGUAAAGGGUGCGUAGGCUGUUUCGUAAGUCGUGUGUGAAUGGCGCGGGCUCAACCCGCGGACGGCACAUGAUACUGCGAGACUAGAGUAAUGGAGGGGGAACCGGAAUGCUCGGUGUAGCAGUGAAAUGCGUAGAUAUCGAGAGGAACACUCGUGGCGAAGGCGGGUUCCUGGACAUUAACUGACGCUGAGGCACGAAGGCCAGGGGAGCGAAAGGGAUUAGAUACCCUGGUAGUC
RNAcentral lists this ribosomal RNA (446 nucleotides) under uncultured bacterium. RNAcentral's name for it is "partial 16S ribosomal RNA". It matches the Rfam family "Bacterial small subunit ribosomal RNA", at positions 338 to 795 of the family's 1533-position model. The record is from RNAcentral.